Molecule: long non-coding RNA, 1397 nt
Filed under: Helianthus annuus (common sunflower)
Lineage: Eukaryota; Viridiplantae; Streptophyta; Magnoliopsida; Asterales; Asteraceae
Source: RNAcentral
GCCGCUUAUUGCUGAACCGGGUUUUUUUGGUUCCAUGGUUUCUUCCAAACCCUAAUCAUUUCCUCAAAAUAUUCAGCCGUUUCUCUAUCUUUCUUCUCUCCUUCGUUCUCAAUCGAGCUUCUCCUACAUCAAAGAUCUAUUUGUUUUUCUACUCUUCACCUUCAUCGCAAUCUAACAGCUAUUUGGAGGUUCGAUUUCUGUUGAUUGACUUCGAUUUAUUUCACACAAACCAAAAGCUGACCUACUUCCGCAUACCACCUCUUCAUCCUAAACUCUCUUGCACCAUCAGAUACGUAUACAAGGAUAUCAAGAGGUGAUGAAAUGACAACCUACUAAGAAUUUUUCCCCUUAUCGGGGCAGGGUAAAGGUUCCAGAAACAACUUCCCAACAACUCGACCAGAACUUCUUAGCCAGUUUCGAAACCAAAUUUCUUAAGAUUUCUUGUGAUUGUGAUGGAGACGAUUUGCUACCAAUUAGCAUAGGGGAAUAUGCAGUUGGAAAGCUUAUAAGCUCCUCUCUGGAAGAUGAGGAACCCCAAACCCUUUUCAGCUUGUGAGAAAUAUUGUUGGGAAACUUGGCUUUGAAGUAAGGAGAUGUCUUAGCAUGUAUUUGACCAGAGUUGACUAACAUUUUCAUUUUGAAAAUUCGUCAUCAGCCUUGCGAUAAACUCUCUUGCACCAUCAGAUGCUGCUACAAGGAUAUCAAGAGGUGAUGAAAUGGCAACCUACUAAGAAUUUUUUCCCUGAGCUGAUCAACACACAUAACAUUACAAGUAUCUGGAAGACAGUGGCUGAAAUAUGAUGCACAAGGGAAGAUUCUUUCAAAUGGAACUCUUCAAGUGUCUGAAUGUCACCAGAUUUCAGGGAUGGUGAAACUGUUGCGGUCAUAUAUUUUAGAGUUGGAUGCGCGCCCACAAGGUUUCACACCUCUAUGCUAAACACUUGAUUUCUUCUAGCAGAGUUUUAAUGGAGUUUGUUUCAAAGACGGAGAUCUGCCACAUGUCUCGGAUAUGGAAGUAUCGGAUUCAACGCAGUCCUGAACGCACAAAGGUCUGGAUCGAGCCUAACAAACGCCGUAGAGUCGUCGUUGUUUACCACCUCAAAGAGAGAAGAACAAAGGCACCAGAAGUGCAUUAAGUGCGCCUCGCUACAAAAACUCGCCUACGCGCAAAAAGCUCUCAAUUUUAAUAACUAUGGUUUUGGUUGUGGUUCAACAUGGAGAAAGGAACAUGUAUGACCAACAUUGGUUUACUGCAACCUUCAAGGAAAAAUAUCCUUUUGACCUUAUAAUAUAUUUCUUUAUUCUUAAUUUAAACUGCUUGACGUCAAAACAUUAUUAUUUUAAAUUACUUGAUUACAUGUUUUUUUUCUACUUUUUAAAAAAUCAUACAUCAUAUU